GAAAUAAUUAACUCCCAGCCAAGGGAUACUCAUUGGAUACAUCACGUGAGAAAUCCACAGAGCCUCACCGGAAAGGAAGACCUCUUAAGAGAUCAGUUACAGUAAACAACUCAAGAAUGAUGUAUCAAGUCUUGUCUGCCCUGGAAAACUCUAACUGGAGAACUAGUGAAAUUUUGACAUACCAGAAGUCAAGGGAGUGAGGCCCAGAUAAAGAAAAGGACAUCCUGGAACCUGAGUACGAGGCACUGCUUAACCACCACAAUUUUAAUCCACAGAAAAUGAGACUCCAGUGCUUUACCUGUUUCUGGGAACUUUCAGUGUCCAGAUAAUUAGAGCAAUCAUGGGAGAAGAUGCAGCUUUCCUUAUAAGCCAAUAUUUAAGAAAUAAUUCACUCCCCACCAACCAAUCAUGGAUUCCUACCCGUGAUCCAGUGAUCCUCAUGGAAUGGUAUGAUAAAAAUACUAGCCAAAUCUUAAAACCCGUAGGAAAUACCAAUGUGUAUGCCUGAGAAGGGGAAAUGGGACUUAAGCAGGGGCGGCUCUAGGUAUUUUGCCGCCCCAAGCAAGGCAGGCAGGCUGCCUACGGUGGCUUGCCUGCGGGAGGUCCCC
Molecule: long non-coding RNA, 608 nt
Organism: Mauremys mutica (yellowpond turtle)
Lineage: Eukaryota; Metazoa; Chordata; Testudines; Geoemydidae
Exons: 3
Source: RefSeq, a predicted model, not a curated record